UCAAUUAUAUAAAAUAAUUACACAAAUACAUUUUGUUUCUAUGAUGAGUCAUGCUCUUAUUUAAUAAUAAAACAGAACUUUUCGGUAAAUCUAAUAGAAUUGCUACAAAUUGUAACAAAUUUCUGCAGUCUGGUCCUAUAAAAACUAACCGAACUGCGUGUAGUAGAUUUUAUAAGUUUAAUACUUUUGUAAUGAUAGUGUAACAAUAUACUAGUCACACUCAUCUUUAUCACUCUCUUCUAACAUUAAUCAAACACAGUUUGUGAUACAUUUACCUUAAGUGAGAUUUUGUUUCCUACUAUGAUUCAGUUUUGUGAUAGGGAUGGAUAGGACUGGUUAUAUGUUUAUAAAUUUAAAAUAGUAUUACAUUACAUGGUCAUGUGCUGAUUUAUUCAGUUUCGAUGCAAUAAUAAGGAAUUGCACAAUUAAGAUGGAAGUGUUAACGCCUCGAUUAACAAUGAGACUAAUUUAACUGCAGACUGUUAUGUGAAAUGAAUUUGCAAGAUUUAUAACGUUUUGCAUACAUGAAAAUAUUGUAUUUCUGAGUGAUUAUUGUAUGUGAUUGUAUAAUACUAAUUAGCUUCAGCAUACUACUUAGCUUUUAUAUCCUGUGUUGCAGCCUAAGUAUUUAUCCACUGUAUGAAGAAUUAUCAAAGAACUCAUCAAUCAUCAAAACAGAUAUAAAACCAAUUUUUUUGCAUUGUUACGGUUAAAAUUAAUCAAUAUAUAAUGCGUUUUACUCUGUGAUUUCAUUCCUUGGAUUAUUAUGCAAGAAAGCAAAGCUUCUUUGCGAUAAGCACGACCGAUUAAUGGCAACGUAAAAGAUGCGGAUUGUUAUAUUCAUUUUAUUUAUAUAGUAAUAUUAGUAAAAAUCUCGACGAUAGCAUCGAUUGCAUCGAAGAUGUAGCCAAAAAAUGUAAGAGGUAUAUAAUUCUAGGAUCAAAUGAUUGUACUUACAUAAAUAAUGAGAAAUAUUUUGACUGACUUUUUAUUACAUAUAAUUCUUACUGCUUAUUGUGACUACGUUAAGUUCAUUACUUUAGCGUCAAGAUGCGAGAGUUAUUAUUUUACUUAAUUAUCUCCGUAAUCAUAAACGAGGAUGGAUGUGUUGUAUUGUAUAUUCUGCAUGUAUAUUUUGCUAUUUGAUAUAUUUAACUAACACUGGUUUAAUUACGGGAUAUGAUAAUAUGGCGUAAUCACAUGUAUAGACAACACAUGUGAUAAUAAAAUAAUAUUUAUAAUUGA
Molecule: non-coding RNA, 1245 nt
Organism: Linepithema humile (Argentine ant)
Lineage: Eukaryota; Metazoa; Arthropoda; Insecta; Hymenoptera; Formicidae
Source: RefSeq, a predicted model, not a curated record